Molecule: long non-coding RNA, 2570 nt
Filed under: Ficedula albicollis (Collared flycatcher)
Lineage: Eukaryota; Metazoa; Chordata; Aves; Passeriformes; Muscicapidae
Description: lncRNA (ENSFALG00000024227.1)
Source: RNAcentral
AUGUGGGAACAGUUACUUGCCAAAAGAGAGCUGCUGUGUGUGGGGAAAGGCGGGGAGCCUGGGGCUGUGUUCAUGCACACGCAGCCUGUGCUCUCCUGGGUGGGAGCAGGGUGGUUCCUGCUCCAGCACAGCCAGUUUAAGGAGCAUGCCCAUGGCAUCCUGGGUGGGGGUUCCACACAGGUUCCAAGGUGUCCUGUCCCCAUGGGCUCUGCUCCGUGUUCACACCUAGUGCUGGCAGCACCAGCUCAUGGCUCUCCCCUGGCCACUCUCCCUGAUGGCUGUUGGGCUGUGCCAGUCCCACCUCAGCUCAGGCAGCCCUAGAAGCCCCUCAGCUGUAGCCCCAGGCUGGCUCCUGUAUGUGGGAACCCCUGGGAGCCCUGGGGGUGUCGUGGUGCUGCCAAAGGCAGGUCCUGCCCUCGGCCUCUGCCAGGCUGUGUGGGUAUCUCAGGGCACUGCAUGGUGAUGUGAUCCAUCCACAGCUCCUCCAGUUCCCUUGGCAUCUCUGCCACCAGUGUGGCUUCCCAGAAGGUGUCAGGAACAGAGUGAACACACUGUCCAUGACUGUGUGGUGACACAAGGAACACACUUGUUCCCCCUUCUGCAUCACCCACAUCCUUUGUCCGACCCUCCUGCUGCUGAGAAGGGUCUUGUGACUUGUCUGAAGCAGAAAGUUCCUUAAAUUGAAAAUAGAAUCCAUACCACUGAAGCCAUUCAGUCCUGGAAUAAUACUUAGAGCAGUUUGUUUCUAUAUAUAUUUUUAAUAAGAAUUUAAGGGGUUUAAGCCUUCAGGUUUGGUGGGAUAUUUAAUAGCUAAACCAAUACAUAUCAGCCAGGGAGCUGCAGGGGAGAAAUUUAUUGCAGUGUUAAGGACAAGCAAUGGGUGAAUUUACUUGAUUAAAAUAAAUUUUCAGUAUGAUAACCAGGAUAUUCACCAAAGAGUCAAAUUCCUUUAUUCCGCUCUGCACAUCCAGUGUCAACAUUAAGACUUAAAUUGUAAGUGGCAUGUCCUCUGACAGAAGUCGCCUUCUGGGCAAAGCAAAAUUGUUUCUUGACAGCUGGAACAGAGGACCCAGAGCUGGGCUGUUUAUUUCUGGCUCUCCACUGAGCUGCUAAAUGACCCUGAGCCCUUCCUUGCCCCAGUUUCCCCCUCUGUGACACUCAGCCAGGUGGGCUAAGUGCACCUUUUAUUGUUUCAAGCAAGCAGGUCCUGCCAGAGUUUCUGUUUCACCUCCUUCCUUUGGGAGCCUGAGUUGGGGGACAGCAGAUUGCCUCUAGCAGUAAACCAAAAUAUAAUAUUAAUUUGAGUUCUUUUACUAUAUAUAGAUGGAGGAUGAACAGAAUCGGUUAAACAAGGAAUGAGAUUCUAGUCAGUGAAAUUAUUCAAACAGAAGAGAAAUCUUUAAUCCUUGGGGCAUCUGAGCCAGCUGGAUCAAAGAGGAAAAUGUGUACUUGGAGGUUGUUCAGUGACAGCCAGCACAGUGCUUUCAGUGGAGGGGGAAGGAGGAACCUUUUAGGGAUGGAAGGAGGAGGAAUGUGCUUCUUGUGCCUUUUUUUGUAAUCUGAUAAUUGUCUUUGCAGAGCAAGCAAGAAUGUGCACACAUCUAUUACCCACUCCUUUCCCAAAUAUAGCUGUAUUCCAAUAAAAUCCAGCACUUCACAGGACAAAAAGACUUCCAGUGCCUUCACUGGACACAUUUAAAACUCCCUGAUAUUUACAAGAUAGAAAAAAAAUAAAUCAGCUCAUCUUUUAGCCCCAUAACUCAGGAAUUCAUCCGUUGCUGGUGCCAUUCCAUUUAUGUCAGGGCGUGUGAGUUGUUCCUGCUGCCUGUCCAAAUUCUGCUCUGCCUCUUCCCAGUCCUGCUCCAGGCCUGUGGCAUGGCCAGGGCUCUGCAGAGGCCUUCGGUUAUCUGAUGCUUUGUGUGAUUUGAAAUGUGAACUUUGAAGCAAAAAUCUAAAAGUUGUGGCUCUGUGGGGAGCAAAACUGAAGCUGGUUAAUGCCAGAUGGGAUUGGAAGGAUUUAGAGUCUGCUGGGUGUCAGCAGAACCAGUUGUUGGCCCAGCUGAACCCAGAAGUCUCUUAGCAAUACAGAUAGAUUCCUUAGAAGCAACUCAGAGCUGUGACCAGUUCCCAUGGGCCAGCAGUGCAAUUGGGAAUUUCCAGUUCUCAAAAUCUUACUCCUGGCUGUGUUUCUUUUCCCUUACCACUGUUUUUGAAAUCUAAAGCAAUCAGAUUUUUCUCCUUUUCUCUUUUUCUCAUUGGCUGGGAGUCCUGUUAAUUUUUUUCUGUGCCAUCACCAACAAUCACCCCCAUAAUCCAGUAGCAGCAAAUUUCAGCUCUGGGUAAUGAAUCACAUUGAAGUCGGACAGCAGAACUCCUGCUGAAGGAAGAGCCCAACACUUGGCCCAGGGAUAAGCCAGUUCAGCUGUACAAGAUCUCCUGCCCGCUGCUUUUAUGCCCUGCUUAGGGAUUUAUACUGCAGAGAGCUUUAAAGUUUUUGACAGCCCCCCCAUCAUGUGAUGAGCCAGCUUAUUUUGGAGAUUCCUGUUACUUGAACUGGAAGGUUGAGCAGG